UGUUGUGUGUCUGCAGACGGUCUCACUGGUUGUGUUUUCCUCCACAUUGUUAUCAGGAGAGGACUCAUACGAAAGCUUACCUGUUGUGUUUUUCUCAAGUGCUGUACCGGCAUCGGAAACCACAGUCCAGUCCUCCUCGUCCAGCCAGGGACAGAAGUUACUGCAGAAGCUGAUGGUCUCCAAAAAUGACCCUGGACACCAAAAUCAGUCAUAAUGGUCAGUUUAUUAAUAAUAAAAUAUAU
Danio rerio (zebrafish) is the source of this 242-nucleotide non-coding RNA. The record is from Ensembl. NCBI's taxonomy places the organism in Eukaryota, Metazoa, Chordata, Actinopteri, Cypriniformes, Danionidae.